RNAcentral lists this transfer RNA (93 nucleotides) under Puniceicoccales bacterium. Its description in RNAcentral is "tRNA-Ser". It matches the Rfam family "tRNA". From Rfam's summary of the family: Transfer RNA (tRNA) molecules are approximately 80 nucleotides in length. Their secondary structure includes four short double-helical elements and three loops (D, anti-codon, and T loops). Further hydrogen bonds mediate the characteristic L-shaped molecular structure. tRNAs have two regions of fundamental functional importance: the anti-codon, which is responsible for specific mRNA codon recognition, and the 3' end, to which the tRNAs corresponding amino acid is attached (by aminoacyl-tRNA synthetases). tRNAs cope with the degeneracy of the genetic code in two manners: having more than one tRNA (with a specific anti-codon) for a particular amino acid; and 'wobble' base-pairing, i.e. permitting non-standard base-pairing at the 3rd anti-codon position. The record is from RNAcentral. Lineage: Bacteria; Pseudomonadati; Verrucomicrobiota; Opitutia; Puniceicoccales.
GGAGAAAUGGCUGAGCGGUCUAAAGCGCCUUCCUGCUAAGAAGGUGGCCUCACAAAAAGGGGCUCGAGGGUUCGAAUCCCUCUUUCUCCGCCA